RNAcentral lists this ribosomal RNA (431 nucleotides) under uncultured bacterium. RNAcentral describes it as "partial 16S ribosomal RNA". It matches the Rfam family "Bacterial small subunit ribosomal RNA", at positions 29 to 507 of the family's 1533-position model. The record is from RNAcentral.
AACGAACGCUGGCGGCAGGCCUAACACAUGCAAGUCGAGCGCCCUUUCGGGGGAGCGGCGGCCGGGUGAGUAACGCGUGGGAAUAUGCCCUUCUCUACGGAAUAGCCUCGGGAAACUGAGAGUAAUACCGUAUACGCCCCAUGGGGGCAAGAUUUAUCGGGGAAGGAUUAGCCCGCGUUGGAUUAGGUAGUUGGUGGGGUAAUGGCCUACCAAGCCGACGAUCCAUAGCUGGUUUGAGAGGAUGAUCAGCCACACUGGGACUGAGACACGGCCCAGACUCCUACGGGAGGCAGCAGUGGGGAAUCUUAGACAAUGGGGGCAACCCUGAUCGAGCCAUGCCGCGUGAGUGAUGAAGGCCUUAGGGUUGUAAAGCUCUUUCAGCUGGGAAGAUAAUGACGGUACCAGCAGAAGAAGCCCCGGCUAACUCCGUG